Molecule: long non-coding RNA, 576 nt
Organism: Homo sapiens (human)
Lineage: Eukaryota; Metazoa; Chordata; Mammalia; Primates; Hominidae
Gene: MIR9-3HG
Product: MIR9-3 host gene
Source: Ensembl
AGUGCGUGGGGGUCCCGGCCCCACACAGUGCUAGGGUCCCUCUCGAGUUUCUCAUCUGCCUUCAGGUCACUUUCCACCCUGAUGCCUUGGCUUGUCCUGAAGCUCAGGGCCCCUGUAGCUUGGGAAACCUCCCAAGCUCCCCAGCGAGUGGCUGUAGACCAAGGAAGGGACCCUGCCCGGCUUCAGGGAAGAAAGGAAGAAAGUUACUCCCCUGCUGGUGCCUCCCUCCUUGGCGCGCUUCCCACCUGCGAUCGGCGCCCUCUUCGCAGUCACGAACUCGCCAGCAGCUAGCAGCACUGACUAGUAGGAGGGCCCGCCGGAGGAGAGCCGCGCGGCCCACAGAAGCGGAACGCGCGUCGAGAGCGCCCUGUCCGCUCGCCCCAGACAGAUGCCCGGUUAUUCAUUACCGCGAGGCCUAGAGGAAAGAGUGGCUGCCGUCUUCCUGCCCACAGCCCGCCGGACCCUCCGUCGCGGCUGCCCGGUCCCCGGAGCCGCAGCCGCCGAGCCCGGCUGUGCGUGUCGUGGCUGCUGGGGAGAAAGAGGCUUCCGGACAUGCUCUGGAGUCAGAAGACAGCG